GGUGAACCUAACGACCAUGAAUCUAAUGAAGACUGUGGAGUAACGUAUGGAAAAGAGUGGAAUGAUGUAGAUUGUGAAAGGAAACUAUCAGUAGUCUGUCAAAUAGGUAGAGAUAACUGUGUGAAUAUCCCUUGUGAUAAUGGUGGGAUAUGCAGCAACAGUAUUUAUGAUGACAAUCUACCAUACCGUUGUAAUGAUAGAUAUGAAGGAAAUACAUGUGAAAAAGAUUGCAAACCCUCUGCUGAUUUGCUAUUUAUCGUAGAUACAUCAGGAAGUGCUGAAGAUUUUUUGGAUACUAUAAACUUUUUAUAAAAAACAUCAUUACAAGGAUACAAAUAGGUCC
Long non-coding RNA from Mytilus trossulus (common blue mussel), 343 nucleotides. RefSeq lists it as uncharacterized. The transcript has 3 exons. The record is from RefSeq and is a predicted model, not a curated record. Lineage: Eukaryota; Metazoa; Mollusca; Bivalvia; Mytilida; Mytilidae.